RNAcentral lists this ribosomal RNA (484 nucleotides) under uncultured bacterium. RNAcentral describes it as "bacterial SSU rRNA". It matches the Rfam family "Bacterial small subunit ribosomal RNA", at positions 8 to 526 of the family's 1533-position model. The record is from RNAcentral.
AGAGUUUGAUCCUGGCUCAGAAUCAACGCUGGCGGCGUGCCUAACACAUGCAAGUCGAACGAGAAAGUCCGCAAGGAUGAGUACAGUGGCGACCGGGUGAGUAACACGUGACUAACCUACCUCCGAGUGGGGAAUAACUCCGGGAAACCGGAGCUAAUACCGCAUAACAUCGCAAGAUCAAAGCAGCAAUGCGCUUGGAGAGGGGGUCGCGGCUGAUUAGCUAGUUGGUAGGGUAACGGCCUACCAAGGCGAAGAUCGGUAUCCGGCCUGAGAGGGCGCACGGACACACUGGAACUGAAACACGGUCCAGACUCCUACGGGAGGCAGCAGUGGGGAAUUUUGCGCAAUGGGGGAAACCCCGACGCAGCAACGCCGCGUGGAGGAUGAAGUCCCUUGGGAUGUAAACUCCUUUCGACCCGGACGAUACUGACGGUACGGGUGGAAGAAGCACCGGCUAACUCUGUGCCAGCCGCCGCGGUAAUAC